RNAcentral lists this ribosomal RNA (440 nucleotides) under uncultured bacterium. RNAcentral's name for it is "partial 16S ribosomal RNA". It matches the Rfam family "Bacterial small subunit ribosomal RNA", at positions 338 to 795 of the family's 1533-position model. The record is from RNAcentral.
CCUACGGGAGGCAGCAGUAGGGAAUAUUGCUCAAUGGGGGAAACUCUGAAGCAGCAACGCAGCGUGGAGGAUGAAUGUUUUCUGAUUGUUAACUCCUUUUGUUAGAGAAGAUAAUGACGGUAUCUAACGAAUAAGCACCGGCUAACUCCGUGCCAGCAGCCGCGGUAAUACGGAGGGUGCAAGCGUUAUUCGGAAUCACUGGGCGUAAAGAGCGCGUAGGCGGGUUAGCAAGUCAGAUGUGAAAUCCUAUGGCUUAACCAUAGAACUGCAUUUGAAACUGUUAUUCUAGAGUAUAGGAGAGGUAGGUGGAAUUCUUGGUGUAGGGGUAAAAUCCGUAGAGAUCAAGAGGAAUACUCAUUGCGAAGGCGACCUGCUAGAACAUAACUGACACUGAUGCGCGAAAGCGUGGGGAGCAAACAGGAUUAGAUACCCGGGUAGUC